CCUACGGGCGGCUGCAGUAAGGAAUAUUGGUCAAUGGACGAAAGUCUGAACCAGCCAUCCCGCGUGCAGGAUGAAAGCCCUAUGGGUUGUAAACUGCUUUUAGCAGAGAAGAAAAGCUUUCAUUAAUGAGAGUCUGACGGUAUCUGCAGAAUAAGCACCGGCUAACUCCGUGCCAGCAGCCGCGGUAAUACGGAGGGUGCGGGCGUUAUUCGGAAUUACGGGGUUGAAGGCGUGGGAUGAAGUCAGUUUUGAAAUCUUGUCGCUUAACGAUAAAAUUGCUAAUGAUAUUGGUACUCUUGAAUUGGGUUGAGGUGAGCGGAAUGUGACAUGUAGCGGUGAAAUGCAUAGAUAUGUCAUGGAACACCAAUUGCGAAGGCAGCUAACUGGGCCUUGAUUGACGCUGAGGCACGAAAGCGUGGGUAGCGAACAGGAUUAGAUACCCUAGUAGUC
This 450-nucleotide ribosomal RNA is filed under the name uncultured bacterium. RNAcentral describes it as "partial 16S ribosomal RNA". It matches the Rfam family "Bacterial small subunit ribosomal RNA", at positions 338 to 795 of the family's 1533-position model. The record is from RNAcentral.